This 447-nucleotide ribosomal RNA is filed under the name Oribacterium sinus. Its description in RNAcentral is "bacterial SSU rRNA". It matches the Rfam family "Bacterial small subunit ribosomal RNA", at positions 28 to 459 of the family's 1533-position model. The record is from RNAcentral. Lineage: Bacteria; Bacillati; Bacillota; Clostridia; Lachnospirales; Lachnospiraceae.
GAUGAACGCUGGCGGCGUGCCUAACACAUGCAAGUCGAACGAGAUGCGUAUCGGAAAGCUUCGGCCGGAAGAUACGUUAUCUAGUGGCGGACGGGUGAGUAACACGUGGGUAACCUGCCUUAUGGAGGGGGAUAACAGAGAGAAAUCACUGCUAAUACCGCAUAAGCACACAGUACCGCAUGGUACAGGGUGAAAAGAUUUAUCGCCAUAAGAUGGACCCGCGUCUGAUUAGCCAGUUGGCAGGGUAAAAGCCUACCAAAGCAACGAUCAGUAGCCGAUCUGAGAGGAUGACCGGCCACAUUGGGACUGAGACACGGCCCAAACUCCUACGGGAGGCAGCAGUGGGGAAUAUUGCACAAUGGGGGAAACCCUGAUGCAGCGACGCCGCGUGAGUGAAGAAGUAUUUCGGUAUGUAAAGCUCUAUCAGCAGGGAAGAUAAUGACAGAC